This 71-nucleotide transfer RNA is filed under the name Echiichthys vipera (lesser weever). Its description in RNAcentral is "tRNA-Asp". It matches the Rfam family "tRNA". Rfam says of the family: Transfer RNA (tRNA) molecules are approximately 80 nucleotides in length. Lineage: Eukaryota; Metazoa; Chordata; Actinopteri; Perciformes; Trachinidae. The record is from RNAcentral.
AAGAUACUAGUAUAAAAUUAAUACACUCCCUUGUCAAGGCAGAAUUGCAGGUUAAAGCCCUGCGUAACUUA